Molecule: long non-coding RNA, 2121 nt
Organism: Salvelinus fontinalis (brook trout)
Lineage: Eukaryota; Metazoa; Chordata; Actinopteri; Salmoniformes; Salmonidae
Exons: 2
Source: RefSeq, a predicted model, not a curated record
ACACACACACACACACACACACACACACACACACACACACACACACACACACACACACACACACACACACACACACACGCACGCACGCACACACACACACAGCUCUGUCUGUGUAGUGCAGAAUCAUACCACCAAAUGAAAAGGGUCCGAUAAGCAUCUCAAUGAAAGGUUGGCUGCCUAUUAGCCCUGGUAUUAAACAAGCAGGUAUUUCUUCUGUCUAGUAAACAGGGGUUGUUUAAAUGUCAUUACACAGGACGGCUUUGUGGAACACAUGGGUUGAGCUGCUGAGGUACCUGCAGCAGUGGCUGCCAUCACCACACAUUUGGGCUAAUCAGAUGAAAGUGGAUGAGAUGUUAAGCCCUCCUUCAGAUGAAUGGGCUGGAGAGAUGUUGAGAAUGGGGAAUGGUAAUGAGCUCUCUGAGACGGCAGCAUUUCACAGCAGAAUUGGAAACUAUGGUUACGAAACAAAACACUGACAAAUGGAACUGAUGGUUUCUGAUUUAAAAAGAUGUGAACCUACACACUGGAGAAGGCUGUUAAGGCAAACAUCUGUGAACGCUAACCUGACGCAGUAAAAAAAUAAAAUAAAAAUGAGGGAAACAGAGCCUUCCUGAAGACACAGAAGAAGAGGGAAUUUGACUGAGCUAGGAGAGCAGGGUGGCUGAGGGACAGAGGGACAUUUAAAACCAACAGUGAAGAUCAAAGUGUAUUGGCAGCCCCCCCCACAGGGCACACAUCGUGCUGCAGAAGAAGCGGGAUAUGAGAGCUAUAUCUGGACAGAGACAGACAGACCAUGUCUAAGCAGAAUAAAAAUCCACCAAACUCAAAAGGAUGAGAAAUAAAAUACAACUACAUCCGACACAAAGGCUUGAACAGAGCCAAUGAAUCUCCUGUACCCAUUCUGUCUGACUACCACAAUUGUUGCAACAGUGUUCCAUUGAAGAAACUCAUAAAUGUCAAAAAAUGUAACACUGCACAUAAAGUACUGUCAAAAAUGUCACUGAUAACAGAGACGGAUAAUAAUAGCAUUAAAAACAAAGCCUUACCAUGUUGGGCUGAGACUACGUCGUAAGGAAGCAAACAGCCAAAUGAGAGAAGUGUCCGUUAACUAGUCACAGUGAACAUUGAGUGGGACAAGGCUCUUUUAGAACCAGGAGGAGGAAACAUUAGUCACACAUAUGGGUUCUCAUUACUGGCCAGAGUGACCUGGCACCCCGGGUCAAAGCUAAGACAUGGAAGGAAUGGACAGACACUAAACAUCUUUCUACUCCGCCUCUUUUCUUUAUUUACAAGACAAAGAAUAAAACGGUCCAGGAAGAACCAUCUUGUGGUAUGAGACGUUUUCUAUGAGUCUUUGUUAGUGUCCAGCAGAUGUAAGGGUCUGGAAGCCUGUUCCGAGAUGCAUCCAGGGCCCUGCUCCAUGGCAGGCCACACAAUGGCCAACACUGUGAGACAGAGCUGUGAGGCACUCGCAGGCAACAAGGCCCGUUUGUGUUGGUCCGUCCCUCCAUUUCUUAUAAAUCAAAUUGACCCUGUGUGAAGUGUGUUCGAGCUGCCACACUCCCCUCUGAUACUGACUGAUUGUGACUGACUAUCUCUAAGAUGGCAUGCAGCAGGCCAGGCUACAUCAUCUGGCAGCUGGCUAGACAGAGAUCUAAAUGAAAAAGCGAUAAGAACCAGAGAAGACAGCAGACACAUUUUCAAUCUUUAGAAACCCAAUUUUCAAGCAGAGUCGUCCUGUUCAACAUCAAGUUCAUUUACAGCCAGGAUGUCUGACAUGUCCUUAAGAGCUCAUCAAGGCCAUGGGGGACUAUUUGUGUGGAAUAUGUUUUUAUGGCCUAUUUAUUUUGUCCUCAUUGUCACUCGACUUAUUGCAAAUCAGAACAAAGGCUUACAUUACCUAUAAGACACAGAACUCAUACUCAGCAUUAAGCCUGUUACAGUAGUAUAUCUGGUACGUAAUCUGCACUAUAGGGACGGCUUCAUGAUGAGAUUCUUGAGAUGUUGAUGAUUGACAACACAUGAUAAUGUCUGAAACGAACACGUUGUCCUCUUGCGUUUUGAAUAUGAGUUAGAAGAACACAUAAGCUCACACUAAACGUUCCAUAAAUGAGGACACAG